Molecule: long non-coding RNA, 1053 nt
Organism: Anas platyrhynchos (mallard)
Lineage: Eukaryota; Metazoa; Chordata; Aves; Anseriformes; Anatidae
Source: RefSeq, a predicted model, not a curated record
ACUGGUGAGCCCUGGGCAUGGGGGUUGCAUGGCAGCAGGGCCAAGGCAAGAGGGGUUUCACAGAGGCACAGCUCUUUGGGAAAGCCUCCUUCAUUCUCCCUGGAGAUAUACCUAGUAGUGGUUUAGGCAAGGAGGUGUUUCCCUGAGGGUAGCGCUCAGUCUCAAAUUACUCAGUUUGACCCUUCUUUCUCCGUUUUCACCUUUGCAACUUAAAAAUAAUACUAAAAAAUCUACCCACUCCCUAAAGUUGAGAGAUCUCAGCUGUGGAGUUGACAAGGUGGGUUUUGAAACAGGGAGCAUCGUGUGAGCUUGAAGAUGGCCGAAAGCGCAGCGCUGCUCGCUGAGGGCAGCCUGUCUGGUGGCACAUCCUCAUCUGCGUCCAGGCUGCCCGCUGUUGGAAGGAAACAUUCCCGCCCAGAGCAUACACUGACACCCUCUCCCUUUGCAAGCAGAAUUAAUCAUCCUUAUGUGCCAUAUUCCAUUUUAAUUUUUAUUGCGCAGCCCGAGAUUAAUGGUUAAUGUAGUACAUCUCCCCAUCUCCACUCCCAUUAGAGUGGAGCGCUUUUGAAUAACUAUUAACUUCGCAGUUAACCGAAAGAAAAUUGUUAAUCAUCGACAAGCUUAUGUUGCAUAAAAAUCACUCUCUGUAACCUUCUGGCUGUGGGAGAGCCCUUUCCUCAGCACUGACCUUCAACGACACCUGGUACCUGCAAAACAAAAUCAGAUGGCACAGCCUUAUCUGCUAGCCAAGCAGGUUGGGGCUGAUCUGCAGAGCACCUGGUGCCACGGGGAUGUGCGCUGUGGCAGUGCAGCCGGUCCUUCCCUUGGCAGGAGGGUCUGGGUGUGCGUGCUGGGAUGGGGAUGAGGUCUCGUCCAGGCAUCGGAUGCUUGCCAGUGAUGCUUCUGCUGCUUUCUCCCUGCCGAUGGACCACGCAGCUGAGCAGGGCCGCAGAGGUGCGGUCUCCCCGUGGAGCACUUACACACGGGCUGUUUGCACCCAGCCGUCCAGGAAAUAAAUCACAGGCUGUUUGUGAAGUAGGAGGGAAGCACUUG